CCUACGGGAGGCAGCAGUAGGGAAUAUUUCACAAUGGGCGAAAGCCUGAUGGAGCAACGCCGCGUGCAGGAUGAAGGCCUUCGGGUUGUAAACUGCUUUUAUAAGCGAGAAAUAUGAUGGUAACUUAUGAAUAAGGAUCGGCUAACUACGUGCCAGCAGCCGAGGUCAUACGUAGGAGCCGAGCAUUAUCCGGAGUGACUGGGUGUAAAGAGUUGCGUAGGUGGCAUAAUAAGUAGCUAGUGAAAUCUGGUGGCUCAACCAUUCAGACUAUUAGCUAAACUGUUAAGCUCGAGAGCGUUAGGAGUAACUGGAAUGUGUGGUGUAGGAGUGAAAUGCGUAGAUAUUAGAAGGAACACCGAUAGCGUAGGCAGGUUGCUGGGACGGUUCUGACACUGAGGCACGAAAGCGUGGGGAGCAAACGGGAUUAGAUACCCCUGUAGUC
This 442-nucleotide ribosomal RNA is filed under the name uncultured bacterium. RNAcentral's name for it is "partial 16S ribosomal RNA". It matches the Rfam family "Bacterial small subunit ribosomal RNA", at positions 338 to 795 of the family's 1533-position model. The record is from RNAcentral.